Molecule: ribosomal RNA, 353 nt
Filed under: uncultured bacterium
Lineage: Bacteria
Description: bacterial SSU rRNA
Rfam family: Bacterial small subunit ribosomal RNA
Source: RNAcentral
GGAUUAACUACCCAUAAUAUAUUUGAUAAGGCAUCUUAUUAAUAUUAAAGCUUCGGCACUUGAUGAUGGGUGUGCGGCUGAUUAGAUAGUUGGCGGGGUAACGGCCCACCAAGUCUACGAUCAGUAGCUGAUGUGAGAGCAUGAUCAGCCACGACGGGCACUGAGACGACGGGCCCGACUCCGUACGGGAGGCAGCAGUAAGGAAUAUUGGACAAUGGACGAAAGUCUGAUCCAGCCAUGCCGCGUGAAGGAUUAAGGUCCUCUGGAUUGUAAACUUCUUUUAUAUGGGACGAAAAAAGGGCAUUCUUGUUCACUUGACGGUACCAUAUGAAUAAGCACCGGCUAACUCCGUG